This 1099-nucleotide long non-coding RNA is filed under the name Prunus dulcis (almond). RNAcentral's name for it is "sRNA ncRNA". Lineage: Eukaryota; Viridiplantae; Streptophyta; Magnoliopsida; Rosales; Rosaceae. The record is from RNAcentral.
UAGAGACUAAGGGGUCGUUUGGUACGGCGGACUGUCAUGGACUGGACUAAAUCCUAGGACUGUCUUGGAUUAACUCGGAUUGGACUAAGCUGGAUUAAGUACUGACCUACGUUUGGUGCUGUGUCGGACUAAGAAGUUGGAUUGUAAAAAUAGUGAAGACCUAUGUUUGGUGUUGUGUCGGACUAAAAAAUAAUUUUUUAAUAAUUAAUUUUAAUUAAUAAAAUUCUAUUAUUUAAUUUUAAUUAAGGCUUUUUUGACAUAAAAAUAAAUAAAAAGAAAACAAAUAAAUUCUAACAUUUUUAACAGGCUUAAACUAUCUUAUCUCUUUUUUUUCUUUUUCUUUUUUCUUUUUCCCCUUUUCUUUCUUCCUUCCUCUUUUCCCCAUUGACUUUUCUUCUUCCUUCCUUCUUGGCCCGUUCCUUUCUUCUUUUUUUUCCUUCUUCCUCCUUUCUUCUUCCUUCCCAAGCCUCCCUUUUUUUUUUUGCGUUCUUCCUUUCCAGGCCGUUCCUUCUUCCUAUUCUUUCCUUUCUCUUUUCUUCUUACUUCCUUCCUUUUUAUUCUCUCUUCAUGCCUCACCCCAACUUUUAAGAGAGCCAGAUUCACUUCUAGGUUUGUGGUGGUUGCAAACACCCACCCUCCUCUCUCUCCGGUUCCACUAAUUAAUAGUUGUGAUGGUUCAAUUUGGUGGUGAUGGUUGUUGAACUGAGUAUGUGGUGGCUAAUUAUGGGUGGUUUUGAUGUUUUGUUUGACUAACUGGGUGGUGAUGAUGGUUUGAUUGGGUCUGUGUUGCUGGUUAUGGGUUUGAUGGUGGUGGUCUGAUGAUCGUGGACUCAUGGUGGUGGUGGUCAAGCUUGUGUGUUUGAUGGUGGUAUUUAGUCGGACUCGCAUGUUCAAAAUAGCACCAUCGCUAUUUUGAGAACCAUAUUUCGGGCUCGCUCUAUUAGCCAAGCGAGUCCCAUUUUUUUUUUCGCUUUGGACUAUACAAUCCCAUUUAAAUUAAUCCCCUCCCUUACCAAACAUAAGUUUCAAGGACUAUUUAACAUAGUCCAAUCCAAUGAGGCAUAGUGAGGCAUGCCAAACAUGCCCUAAUAGUGCAACA